Long non-coding RNA from Haliotis rubra (blacklip abalone), 125 nucleotides. RefSeq lists it as uncharacterized. Lineage: Eukaryota; Metazoa; Mollusca; Gastropoda; Lepetellida; Haliotidae. The transcript has 3 exons. The record is from RefSeq and is a predicted model, not a curated record.
UUGAUUAAUAAGAAAGUUAUUACCAGGCGUUCAUGUACUGCCUGUUUUCAAUCCUGGAAACAUACCAGUGUUGUAAACAUAGAACUGUAGGGGAAAUGAUAACAAGCAUGUCAAGGAAAUACCCA